GUUGCUUAGGUCUGUGGUUGAAAGUCGAUGCCAGUCGCAGGCGAAACGAUCCACGUAAGGAAUUCAAAGAAUUCUGAUCAUGGUGCGGCUUAGAGAUAAGACCUGCCGGCUUUAAGUAAUUAAAGUACAUAAUAGCCGAGAGUGUUAGUAGUGAGGGUUUAAUUUCUAUUAGCGAAACCUCCAGCAGGCGAGUGUGGGGUCAAAGACCAGGUCAGCUGAGCAAU
This 224-nucleotide non-coding RNA is filed under the name unclassified sequences. RNAcentral describes it as "raiA RNA". It matches the Rfam family "raiA RNA". The record is from Rfam by way of RNAcentral.